GAUGAACGCUGGCGGCGUGCCUAAUACAUGCAAGUCGAGCGGACAGAUGCUGAGCUUGCUCCUCUCACGUUAGCGGCGGACGUGUGAGUAACACGUGUAUAACCUACCUAUCAUACUGGGAUAACUUCGGGACACCGGAUCUAAUACCGUAUAAUAUAUUGCACCGCAUUGUUCAAUAGUGAAAGUCGGCUUUUCUGUCACUUAUAGCUGGAUCCGGGCCGCGUUGGCUAGUUGGUAAGGUAACGGCUUACCAAGGGAACGAUGCGUAUCCGACGGGACAGGGUGGUCGGCGACAUGGGAGGGGGAACAGGGACAAGGCGCCUAAGGGAGGGAGCAGAAGGGUACCGGACGCAGUGGGGGAAAACCUGACGGAACAACGCGGCGUGAGAGACGACGGCCUUGGGAGCGUAAAACUCUGUUAUUAGGGGAGAACAAAUGUGUAAGGAACUAUGCCCGGAUUGACGGUACCUAAUAAAAAAGCAACGGCUAACUACGUG
Molecule: ribosomal RNA, 497 nt
Filed under: uncultured bacterium
Lineage: Bacteria
Description: partial 16S ribosomal RNA
Rfam family: Bacterial small subunit ribosomal RNA
Source: RNAcentral